AAAAAUUCGCUAUUCUAGAAAUGACAAUAAUAAUUGCUAUACUGAUACGAAAAUUUAUAAUUAAAAUAGAUAAGCCAAUAGAAAUUGCAGAAAUAGGAGUAGAAUUGAAUCUCUCGUUGAAACCGACUGAAGCAAUAAAUCUAAAAUUUUAGAGAAGCAUAUCGUGUAGCAGAAUACUAAUCCUCUUUUAAUGGGAUUUGCAAUAUUUGACCAGGUAAAUAAACACUGACUGAAAGAGCAAGACGAAUUUUCAAUUCGUAAUAAAGUUUUCAGCCUUAUAUUACAAAAUAUGACGUGAUUGGCAAUAUCUUAAUAUUAUAAUAUCUCGAUGAAAUCUCUCUUCUUUAAUGGGUUACGGUCCACGAUAUUAUUUCAUUUGUAUCGAGUUCGAUCUAACGGAUCUAUCUUUAAAAAAAUCGUCAUAUAUUUAUUCCGGAAUUUCUGAGAAGAAAUUAGAGAGAUCGUUAACAGGAUACCUGAUGAAUUAAUCUAUUCUUCCUUAAAUGUGUGCAACUCCAUAAAAGGGUA
Long non-coding RNA from Vespula vulgaris, 528 nucleotides. RefSeq lists it as uncharacterized. Lineage: Eukaryota; Metazoa; Arthropoda; Insecta; Hymenoptera; Vespidae. The transcript has 3 exons. The record is from RefSeq and is a predicted model, not a curated record.